CGCAGAUCAGCAAAGCUGCGGUGAAUACGUUCCCGGGCCUUGUACACACCGCCCGUCACACCACGGGAGUCGGUCGCGCCUGAAGCCGGUGGCCUAUCAGUAAUGGGGGAGCCGUCUAUGGCGAGAUUGGUAACUGGGGUGAAGUCGUAACAAGGUACC
This 159-nucleotide ribosomal RNA is filed under the name uncultured bacterium. Its description in RNAcentral is "partial 16S ribosomal RNA". It matches the Rfam family "Bacterial small subunit ribosomal RNA", at positions 1343 to 1500 of the family's 1533-position model. The record is from RNAcentral.